This 910-nucleotide ribosomal RNA is filed under the name Penicillium westlingii. RNAcentral's name for it is "LSU rRNA". It matches the Rfam family "Eukaryotic large subunit ribosomal RNA", at positions 38 to 962 of the family's 3401-position model. The record is from RNAcentral. Lineage: Eukaryota; Fungi; Ascomycota; Eurotiomycetes; Eurotiales; Aspergillaceae.
GCAUAUCAAUAAGCGGAGGAAAAAGAAAACCAACCGGGAUUGCCCUAGUAACGGCGAGUGAAGCGGCAAGAGCUCAAAUUUGAAAGCUGGCUCCUUCGGGGUCCGCAUUGUAAUUUGCAGAGGAUGCUUCGGGAGCGGUCCCCAUCUAAGUGCCCUGGAACGGGCCGUCAUAGAGGGUGAGAAUCCCGUAUGGGAUGGGGUGCCCGCGCCCGUGUGAAGCUCCUUCGACGAGUCGAGUUGUUUGGGAAUGCAGCUCUAAUUGGGUGGUAAAUUUCAUCUAAAGCUAAAUAUUGGCCGGAGACCGAUAGCGCACAAGUAGAGUGAUCGAAAGAUGAAAAGCACUUUGAAAAGAGAGUUAAACAGCACGUGAAAUUGUUGAAAGGGAAGCGCUUGCGAUCAGACUCGCUCGCGGGGUUCAGCCGGCCUUCGGGCCGGUGUACUUCCCCGCGGGCGGGCCAGCGUCGGUUUGGGCGGCCGGUCAAAGGCCCCUGGAAUGUAACGCCUCUCGGGGCGUCUUAUAGCCAGGGGUGCCAUGCGGCCUGCCCGGACCGAGGAACGCGCUUCGGCUCGGACGCUGGCAUAAUGGUCGUAAGCGACCCGUCUUGAAACACGGACCAAGGAGUCUAACAUCUACGCGAGUGUUCGGGUGUCAAACCCGUGCGCGCAGUGAAAGCGAACGGAGGUGGGAACCCCUCGGGGUGCACCAUCGACCGAUCCUGAUGUCUUCGGAUGGAUUUGAGUAAGAGCGUAGCUGUUGGGACCCGAAAGAUGGUGAACUAUGCCUGAAUAGGGCGAAGCCAGAGGAAACUCUGGUGGAGGCUCGCAGCGGUUCUGACGUGCAAAUCGAUCGUCAAAUUUGGGGUAUAGGGGGCGAAAGACUAAUCGAACCAUCUAGUAGCUGGGUUCUGCG